RNAcentral lists this ribosomal RNA (254 nucleotides) under uncultured bacterium. Its description in RNAcentral is "partial 16S ribosomal RNA". It matches the Rfam family "Bacterial small subunit ribosomal RNA", at positions 524 to 776 of the family's 1533-position model. The record is from RNAcentral.
UACAGAGGGUGCAAGCGUUGUUCGGAAUUAUUGGGCGUAAAGAGCUCGUAGGCGGUGUGUCACGUCGGCCGUGAAAACCUGGGGCUUAACUCUGGGCGUGCGGUCGAUACGGGCAUCACUAGAGUUCGGCAGGGGAGACUGGAAUUCCUGGUGUAGCGGUGAAAUGCGCAGAUAUCAGGAGGAACACCGGUGGCGAAGGCGGGUCUCUGGGCCGAUACUGACGCUGAGGAGUGAAAGCAUGGGUAGCGAACAGG